RNAcentral lists this ribosomal RNA (253 nucleotides) under uncultured bacterium. RNAcentral describes it as "partial 16S ribosomal RNA". It matches the Rfam family "Bacterial small subunit ribosomal RNA", at positions 524 to 776 of the family's 1533-position model. The record is from RNAcentral.
UACGAAGGGGGCUAGCGUUGCUCGGAAUCACUGGGCGUAAAGCGCACGUAGGCGGAUCGUUAAGUCAGGGGUGAAAUCCUGGAGCUCAACUCCAGAACUGCCUUUGAUACUGGCGACCUUGAGUUCGGGAGAGGUGAGUGGAACUGCGAGUGUAGAGGUGAAAUUCGUAGAUAUUCGCAAGAACACCAGUGGCGAAGGCGGCUCACUGGCCCGGUACUGACGCUGAGACGCGAAAGCGUGGGGAGCAAACAGG